AAAUUCUCGGCCGCGGUGAGCCCUGACGUCAGGAACAGGCUGCUCCAUCGCAGCGGUGCUGGUGGGAAGCUCGGGCAGGUCGUGAGCGAGGCAGUGUUUGUCAUGGAGUGCGCACACAGCACUGUAACAACUAUGAUCAAUAUGUCCCCAGGAGACACUGUAACUGGCAAGUACAAAAACAUACAAAAGUACAAACUGGCAAGUAAAAAAACGUGGUUCCAGCGCAUCCUGCCGUGCUUGGCUGAUGUCUAUAAAACCAUGAGGACGCGUGUAAGCACCCCCUUAUGUACACCGAGGUGGUAAGCCCCCCCAGAAGACCUCGGAGGCCAGCAAUUCUGCUACUUCCAGUAUCAAAGCUUUGGGGAGCUCUGCUGGGCGCACCGAUCGGACGGGCCCCGGGGCUGCUGGGCAGAGCCCCCCUCUCGGGCAGACCCCGCUGCCCCCACGCAGCUCCGCUCCCCCCGCACAGCUCCGCAGGUCCCGGGGGGCUGCAGGGCCUUCGGCGAGCUCCAACACAGCGAGAUGCGGCCACGGGCACGCAGCGCCCCGAGCUCCGACAGCCCCCUGCGGAGGGAGCCCCCACGCUCCUGCGCUCGUCCGCCUGGAGCUCGGAGCCCCCCGGGCACCUGCUGGUGGCCGGGCCCCCCGGGGUCGGGCAGGGCUCGGGGCUCGCCCCGGUGGCAGCGGGGUGGCACCGGGACCCCAGCCCCGGCCCGGGGCCGCGCUCACCGGGACCGGCCCCGCGGCGGGCGGGAUAAAGUGUAACGCAAGUGAAGUCUCUAUGAGAGGGUCCUCGCCUGAGCAGCCUCCUGAAGUGGAGAUCCAGUGAAGCCAUUAUCAAUUAAAGGAUGCUUGUGCACAGAGACCUGACCCCACCCCACAAAUACAGCUGCUGAACUCAGAACGUGUCCAUGUCUUGAUUUUGAUACUUUUAGGCUGAAAAUCCAAAAACAUAGGAACUUGAAACCUGUGCCUGCUUUUCAGGCCUGAGCUGUAGGUCAUCACCAGUGUGGGAGAGGAGAUGGGAACCCCUGAAAGCCGCUGGGCAGUGCCAAAAACAGACAUGUUUGGGACUGUUCUAGGCCAUGGUCCCUGUGGGAAGGGUGAGAAAGAAUUGAGCUGAAAUAGCCUCUCACCCCAACACUGAGAUCUGUGUGCCACUGGGUGACCACAGGGUGGGAUACCCAGGUCAGGCAUGGGACAGACAGUUCCAGCUUCAACAACAUAGUAUUGAUUUGCAGGUGUUAAAAAUCAACUUUUGGCCUGCCUAGGCCACAUAUAUGUCAAGUGGGUCAAGGGGGCUUGUGGACCUUAUUUCAUUAAAACCAUGAAUUCCUACUCUAGAGUCAAUCUGAGCCAGGGGUUGUGUGCUAUAGUAUAUGUGUUGGGGCUGGGCAGCCAUAAGGCAUGCACAUGCUAGCAGCUGGAGACAGAGAAUUUUUGCAAAUAUUCCAAUUUUGGGAGCUUGAAAAUCUAAUUUUGAAAUGUUCAUUCCUGUGAUGUCAGGUCACAAUUUUCCUGACUAUAAGAAUAGAAAAAGAAAGUAUAUGGGUAAAGACAAUCUGUCUGUUUUUAUUUCAGCAACUAAAUCUAGAUUUACUGCUUAA
Molecule: long non-coding RNA, 1607 nt
Organism: Cygnus olor (mute swan)
Lineage: Eukaryota; Metazoa; Chordata; Aves; Anseriformes; Anatidae
Exons: 3
Source: RefSeq, a predicted model, not a curated record